CCUACGGGAGGCAGCAGUGGGGAAUAUUGGACAAUGGGCGAAAGCCUGAUCCAGCAAUGCCGCGUGAGUGAUGAAGGCCUUCGGGUCGUAAAGCUCUUUUACCAGGGAUGAUAAUGACAGUACCUGGAGAAUAAGCUCCGGCUAACUCCGUGCCAGCAGCCGCGGUAAUACGGAGGGAGCUAGCGUUGUUCGGAAUUACUGGGCGUAAAGAGUACGUAGGCGGUUAUUCAAGUCAGAGGUGAAAGCCCGGGGCUCAACCCCGGAACUGCCUUUGAAACUAGAUAACUAGAGUCUUGGAGAGGUUAGUGGAAUUCCGAGUGUAGAGGUGAAAUUCGUAGAUAUUCGGAAGAACACCAGUGGCGAAGGCGACUAACUGGACAAGUACUGACGCUGAGGUACGAAAGCGUGGGGAGCAAACAGGAUUAGAUACCCUGGUAGUCCACGCCGUAAACGAUGAUAAACUAGUUGUUCGGUCACUUGGUGACUGAGUGACGCAGCUAACGCAUUAAGUUAUCCGCCUGGGGAGUACGGUCGCAAGAUUAAAAACUCAAAAGANAGUGACGNGUGAGAGNGACGAGACGACAGAGGAGNG
RNAcentral lists this ribosomal RNA (592 nucleotides) under uncultured bacterium. RNAcentral's name for it is "bacterial SSU rRNA". It matches the Rfam family "Bacterial small subunit ribosomal RNA", at positions 338 to 945 of the family's 1533-position model. The record is from RNAcentral.